UGAACCAAUAAGAGAGAGGUUUAUAUCGGUGCGUCACGUGUGUCAAACGUUCGGACAUGUUGAAAAGCUUGCUUUCGAUUUCAUUUUGAAGUAUGAAAGAUGAGUUUUCAUGAUCAUGAAUGCUGUUGAAGUCACNUGGAUUUUAUUUACAGAGAAGAAAGAAGGGAUUCCAACCCAUCGAUUCCCCUUCUUCUGUGNGCCAAUUUCAAAUGGUAUAAGGUGAGACCACUACCAGCAGCCUUUGCAGCCAUCCCUUUGCUGACAAAUUUGCCUUCUAUCAUUGGAUACCAGGACCUCAAAUUCUUGUCUCUCUGCUCAAAGAAAAUCAUGGAAUCCUUAAUAUACUUGGAAUUGAAGGAAAAUUUCUGCAAAGUAUUAGAUUGCAAGGAAGCAAUGUCCAUCAGCUCUUUCAGUGCUUCUACAUCACAAAGAGCAUUGUGUGAGUGAUAUGUCUUUCCAGUUACAUGAUUGUACAGACUCUCUUGUUUAUAUGACUGCAAACCGACAUGUGUAUCCUUGAACAGUGGAAGCGUAUCCAGGAAACCUGCAACUGCUUGUUCCAAAUUUCCAAACAUAUUACAAGAUUUUGCAGCAUUGACAAGAACAUGGCAGUCGAAGACUUUUAUAUUGUGGCCUAUGAGCAGGACAGGGUCUUCCCCAAGGAAAUUGGUGAACAUCUUUAAUGCUUCUUUUAUUGGUACAGCAUUCACCAGCUGAUUAUUGUGGAAUAGUUGACCAUUUAUGCAUUUCAAGCCUGUCACCUCAGAUGCUUUUUUUUGAAUGGGUAUUUUUGGGAGAACAUAACAAUUGAAUGAUUUGCUUGAGUGACGUGCAACUGCUGCUAUCUGUGUGAUAUGNCUCUUUCUUCCUAAAGAGAAAAUAAUACUGUUACUAUUGGGCCUCNGGUAAUCUAAAUUACUUUUUUUUUAAAUAGACUUACCUAGUCCUGUUGUCUCAAUAUCAAAAACGAAGCUUGAGCAAGGAAUGUCUUUUAUAGAUUCAGCUUUAGGUUUCAUUACUGGUUNGGGUAUUUGGUAAACAUCUUGAUCUUCUGUCAUUUAAAUAGGAAACAUCAAUUCAUUAUAGUAUAGGACAUAGGCAGUACACCACAUUAGAAGAGGAAACUUAUCUAUAGCAGUAAGCUCAGAUGUCUGUGAUUUCAUUUCCGUAUAAAUCUGUAUGAAUGCUAUUUCUGGGCUUCACUCUGUACAGAGGUGCUUUGCACCAUCACUUGAUGGCAGCCAUGACANGGAGCAGGAACAGUUGAACCUGGUUUACAUUCAAUUUCCCAGANAGAAAAUAACCUAUUGUUAUGCCCCUGUCAUGUUGCUGAUACAGUUGAUGGUGCAAAAGAUCAUAUUAAAAACAUGAAUAACUAACAGCAUACCAAAAAUUAUGCUUGUUACCAACAUUUUACCUGUUACUAAGUCUAUACUUGUUGAAUAAGUAUCACCUUCCCGUAUUUCAUUUGAUUGAUUGCAUGAUAGUUUCUUGGCCUUUAGUUCAAGCUUUACUGCUCUAGAUGAUUUUCUUGAUUUGUUUCUUUUCAUAAAGGUAUUGAGAUAUUUUGCACGUUUUCUAGUAUUACAUCCUGGAGAAAGUCCAGUUUUCUUGUUGACCUGUAUGUAAAAUACAUUUUGGGAUUACAACUCUAUCUCACCAUUUAUAGGGUCAGUAAAUUAAAAGGCAAUAAUGUUUGUACUGUCUUCNCAAUGCUUACCUCUACUAGGUAAUCAUAUCCAGUGUUCUUUUGACAGAUGGAUGCACUAACCCUGUAGUCUAAGCUUUCUGAUCCAGAAUAAUGUUGUCUCUUUGGGGCCUUAGUACUAACAAUACCAUUCAAAUUUUCAUUGGCUUGAGUUGAUUUCAUGUUUGCUAGUUUCUUUGCUUGGGAUUUGUACUUGAUGAAAAUGGNUUCCAAACUUUCUUGCAAACCACUAUCUUCUAGGGGUCUUCCAUAAGGCAGAGAAGGAUAUUUCUUUUUUUUACCAUUUUUAUGAUGGCACCAUGAACCACAUGCAGAAUGAUCAUCAAAUGGAUGCUUGUGCAAGGCAUCAAGAUCUCUGGUUAUUGCUUCUGGGUUUCCAGCNUUCUGUUUUACCAUAUAUGUGAAGAGCCUUUGAAGAUACUUUAUAGUUUUGACUGAUAGCUUGUGUUUCUCUUUCAAAGAAAACAACUGAGAACCUAAUAUUUUCUUGAUGUGGUUUCCAUCAGAUUGCUUUUCAAUGUCUUNGCUGACUUCCUUUCUAAGUCUNGCAGUGAUGGUUGUAUCUUCAUCGCCUACAAUAGCACCAAUGGUAAUCUGUGUGAUAAGAAUCCAAUUAUAAUGAUUAAUGUUAAUGAUGAUGAUUCAAAUAAACNCAGAUCGCAAUUGAA
Molecule: long non-coding RNA, 2376 nt
Filed under: Actinia tenebrosa (Australian red waratah sea anemone)
Lineage: Eukaryota; Metazoa; Cnidaria; Anthozoa; Actiniaria; Actiniidae
Description: uncharacterized LOC116289842
Source: RNAcentral